Long non-coding RNA from Anastrepha ludens (Mexican fruit fly), 1142 nucleotides. RefSeq lists it as uncharacterized. Lineage: Eukaryota; Metazoa; Arthropoda; Insecta; Diptera; Tephritidae. The record is from RefSeq and is a predicted model, not a curated record. The transcript is spliced from 4 exons.
AAUAAUCAGCUAAAAUUUACUGUGGCUACAGUGAAAAUGAAAAACCUAUUGAAAAUGUCUGGAACGACGCGAGAAAACUUCAAUAUCAAAGACUAUUGAUUUACCAUUAAAUUACCACUUGGCCGACUUUCAUACAUUUCAGUACAUUCCCAUUCGUUUUUGACAGUUGUCGCAGCAAAGCACCAAUGAGUUGGGCCAGCGCCGUAAGAAAAGUCCAUAAAUAUUAAUUAGACACUUUUAUGUAGACCAAAUACCCACGUUUCCCGGCUACAGAUGGUAGCAAAGCAAACAAAAGCCGUUAAGCGCAGCUGAGCACGCACCGAUAGGAUCACAGCAAAUCCACUUGUUAGUACGGAGAGAAGUUGAUAAACAAACCGAAAUAAAGUGAAGUUCGCAAUUGCAGGCGAGUGUAAAGGGCAGUAGGUAAAACAAGCAGAGCACUCGAUAGCCAGCAACUGCUCCUAUUUGUACUUAUUUACCGUUGUCGUGCGUGGUUGCUUUCAUUGAGCUUUUUGCUUGCUGCCCUCGAAGGUUGAGAAAGAUUGAACAGCCGUCGUAGCCGAAUAGUGCGUGACUAACACUCGGAAAUGCGUAUACUCAAAAUCCCGUGCAUGAAGCACCAAAAUGAAAAAAAAUUUUCUACUAGCGGUCGCCCCUCGGUUGGCAAUGGUAAACCAUCGAGUGUAUUUCUCCAACGAAAAAUCUCCACAUAAAAGCCAUUUGCCUUUUGGAGUCGUUGUUUAAAUAGGAGGAGAAGCUCGGCUAAACAUCUAACAGACGUCUACCUAAUUUAGUCAAAAAGCACAGAAGUUCUUACUGACGAUUGACUUAAUUCUAAAAAAACACUACGACACGUUGAUGCUAAAUGGCUUGCAAAGAAUGAGUGGACAGAUUUAAAUGAAACCUCACUUACGUUCAUAUGAAGAAUGUGCCAACAUAAGAAAAUAAACAAUGACUAUUAGCAACGCCAACUCUUAUAGAAUAGCAUAACUUAUUGAACAACCUAGUAUAUUUAUUUAAUGCCCACUGUAGUAAAUUCACCAAUUUUAUUUUUCAAAAAAUAAAUUAUUUGAAGUUCAAAAUCAGUAACCUCAAAAACUGGCACGUUUUCCAUAUUGGAGCUGCCAAGCUGCCAGACAUAU